GUCCAAAAAAAACUGAGUUAGCUAUAUUAAAAGACAAGAUUUUGACUCUAUUUACAAAUGAAGAGAAUGUCUACUACAUUGCUCCAAAAGAAGAGGGAAGUAAUCAAUCUCUUGCUAGAGGAAAAACUUUUUGAUAGAACAAGAAAUCUGUGAAAGAAUGGAUGAGAAAGAAAAAUCUUAUUCCUAGAGUCAAAACAUCUAAACAGAAUACUUAUAAUGAAUCAUCUUCCACAAAAACAGCUGUUUUAAGAAACCCAC
Cyphomyrmex costatus is the source of this 258-nucleotide long non-coding RNA. RefSeq lists it as uncharacterized. Lineage: Eukaryota; Metazoa; Arthropoda; Insecta; Hymenoptera; Formicidae. The record is from RefSeq and is a predicted model, not a curated record. The transcript has 3 exons.